CGGUAACACCGGCGGCCCGAGUGGUAGCCGUUAUUAUUGGGUUUAAAGGGUCCGUAGCCGGCUUAUUAAGUCUCUUGGGAAAUCUGGCGGCUCAAUCGUCAGGCGUUCAAGAGAUACUGAUAGGCUUGGGACCGGGAGAGGUGGGAGGUACUCCAGGGGUAGGGGUGAAAUCUCGUAAUCCUUGGGGGACCACCGAUGGCGAAGGCAUCCCACCAGAACGGGUCCGACGGUGAGGGACGAAAGCUGGGGGCACGAACCGGAUUAGAUACCCGGGUAGUCCCAGCCGUAAACGAUGCUCGCUAGGUGUCAGGUGCGGUGCGACCGCAUNUGGUGCCGNAGUGAAAACUUGAAGCGAGUCACCUGGGAAGUACGGUCGCAAGGCUGAAACUUAAAGGAAUUGGCGGGGGAGCACUACAACGGGUGGAGCCUGCGGUUCAAUUGGAUUCAACGCCGGAAAGCUUACCGGGUCAGACAGCAAUAUGAAGGUCAAGCUAAAGACUUUACCGAAUUCGCUGAGAGGAGGUGCAUGGCCGUCGUCAGUUCGUAUCGUGAGACAUCCUGUUAAGUCAGGCAACGAGCAAGACCCGUGCCCACAGUUGCCAGCAUACCCUCCGGGGUGAUGGGCACACUGUGGGGACCGCCGCUGCUAAAGCGGAGGAAGGNGCGGGCUACGGUAGGUCAGUAUGCCCCGAAUCAUCCGGGCUACACGCGGGCUACAAUGGUUGGGACAAUGGGCACCUACACCGAGAGGUGAUGGUAAUCUCCUAAACCCAGCCUUAGUUCGGAUUGAGGGCUGCAACUCGCCCUCAUGAAGCCGGAAUCCGUAGUAAUCGCGUAUCAAUAUCACGCGGUGAAUACGUCCCUGCUCCUUGUACACACCGCCCGU
This 886-nucleotide ribosomal RNA is filed under the name uncultured methanogenic archaeon. Its description in RNAcentral is "bacterial SSU rRNA". It matches the Rfam family "Archaeal small subunit ribosomal RNA", at positions 468 to 1353 of the family's 1478-position model. The record is from RNAcentral. Lineage: Archaea; Methanobacteriati; Methanobacteriota.